Molecule: transfer RNA, 73 nt
Filed under: Paractinoplanes ferrugineus
Lineage: Bacteria; Bacillati; Actinomycetota; Actinomycetes; Micromonosporales; Micromonosporaceae
Description: Actinoplanes ferrugineus tRNA-Asp
Rfam family: tRNA
About the family: Transfer RNA (tRNA) molecules are approximately 80 nucleotides in length. Their secondary structure includes four short double-helical elements and three loops (D, anti-codon, and T loops).
Source: RNAcentral
GCCGUCGUAGCUCAGAGGGAGAGCACCCGACUGUCGAUCGGGGGGCCGCGGGUUCGAGUCCCGUCGGUGGCGC